Molecule: non-coding RNA, 361 nt
Organism: Peromyscus maniculatus bairdii (prairie deer mouse)
Lineage: Eukaryota; Metazoa; Chordata; Mammalia; Rodentia; Cricetidae
Source: RefSeq, a predicted model, not a curated record
AACUCCAGCAUGCUGAUGCUCUUUUCUGUCACAUAGUCAGGGCUCAGGACAACAAUCAUCCUUCGGCUCCGCUGAAUGAAAUCAAACACUGCUUCCACCGUAUCUACAGGGAAAUGGAAAGAUAGCAUAGCAUCUGAAUGUCUGAUUGGCACAUUACCAGGAUUUACCACCUCCCUAGAUUCUGAGUUACAGCCAGCCCCAGGUACUUAACAUUUUGGACACAGGAUGAAUAGGAGAGGCCCUGCUUGUCACUGCUAGACCACCUGGGACUCUUCUUCACUGGCAUGGCCACCUGCAGCUGCUUCCAGAACCUGCCCUGCGGAUACUUGGAUUUCUCCCCUUUCCAUUUAAUGACCGUGAG